Molecule: unclassified non-coding RNA, 168 nt
Filed under: uncultured Nemania
Lineage: Eukaryota; Fungi; Ascomycota; Sordariomycetes; Xylariales; Xylariaceae
Description: sequence contains ITS2
Source: RNAcentral
CAACCCUUAAGCCCUGGUUGCUUAGCGUUGGGAGCCUACCGGACCCCGUCCCGUAGCUCCCCAAAGUCAGUGGCGGAGCCGGUUUAACACUCCAGACGUAGUAGCUUUUACACAUCGCCUGUAGCCUAAGCCCGGCGCCCUGCCGUAAAACACCCCCCAAUGUAUAGG